AAUAAAUGCAGUUUUACACUGUUCAUAUUCAACGUUUGACCGUUCGUCUUUUUUUAUUUUUUUAUGACUGUACUUUUAUUGUUAUUAGAUAAUAAAACAUGAAUAAUACUUUAUGUGUGUCUAAAUUUUUGUUAGCUUUUUCAUAUUUUUUUUUCAAAUAAGACGGACGGUCAAACGUUGGACACGGGUACCAACGAUUACACUUAUU
MicroRNA precursor from Oryza rufipogon (brownbeard rice), 208 nucleotides. It matches the Rfam family "MIR812 microRNA precursor family". The record is from Rfam. NCBI's taxonomy places the organism in Eukaryota, Viridiplantae, Streptophyta, Magnoliopsida, Poales, Poaceae.